GACCAGCUGUAUCUAGUAUCUCCAUGGAAACCACUUCAUCGUCAAUGGUAGCUUGGUGACGAUAUGUAGACUCUAAAAUAAGAACGCAUUUUGUGAAACAUUUUAAAAGAAGGUUUUUGGGUUUGCUUUUUUUUAGCUCUGGAAGACUGCAGCCCAUUUUCCAUGUUUGUUGAUAGGGAAGGCUGCCACCUAUGAAACACAACUACCACUACUCUCAAAGUAUCCAGCUCAACAGCCUGUCAAUGCAUAGCUUGAAGUCUCAAGAUCAAAACCAGUAUGGUUGCAGAACAGGGAACCUAACCACUAAGUCAGGGCUUAUACUGUGAUAAAAUUACAGAACAGUUAGCUAUUUUAGGAAUGUCUCUGAAGCAUGCUGAA
Molecule: long non-coding RNA, 378 nt
Organism: Neopsephotus bourkii (Bourke's parrot)
Lineage: Eukaryota; Metazoa; Chordata; Aves; Psittaciformes; Psittacidae
Exons: 2
Source: RefSeq, a predicted model, not a curated record